This 138-nucleotide small nucleolar RNA is filed under the name Ornithorhynchus anatinus (platypus). The record is from RNAcentral. Lineage: Eukaryota; Metazoa; Chordata; Mammalia; Monotremata; Ornithorhynchidae.
UCCCUCUCAGGGCCGAACUUGGAGAGUUUCCAGUACUCUACCAGUCUCGUCUAUGGAAGGGAGAGUCAAGCAGAGACCUACGCAUUCCAUUCCUAGCUUGGGCAGUGGCUAGCAAGAGGAAGGCAAUCUGCUACAAGU